This 378-nucleotide ribosomal RNA is filed under the name uncultured organism. RNAcentral's name for it is "partial 16S ribosomal RNA". It matches the Rfam family "Bacterial small subunit ribosomal RNA", at positions 527 to 896 of the family's 1533-position model. The record is from RNAcentral.
AGAGGGAGCAAGCGUUGUUCGGAAUCACUGGGCGUAAAGGGCGCGUAGGCGGCUGGGUCAGUUUCGUGUGAAAUCCCUCGGCUCAACUGAGGAACUGCACGGAAUACUGCCCGGCUUGAGUUCGGGAGAGGGAAGCGGAAUUCCGGGUGUAGCGGUGAAAUGCGCAGAUAUCCGGAGGAACACCAGUGGCGAAGGCGGCUUCCUGGACCGUGACUGACGCUGAGGCGCGAAAGCUAGGGGAGCGAACGGGGGAUUAGAUACCCCGGUAGUCCUAGCCGUAAACGAUGAGUGCUGGGUGUAGGGGGUAUUGACCCCCCCCCCCUGUGCCCGAAGCUAACGCAUUAAGCACUCCGCCUGGGGAGUACGGUCGCAAGGCUG